RNAcentral lists this small nucleolar RNA (107 nucleotides) under Olea europaea subsp. europaea. Its description in RNAcentral is "Plant small nucleolar RNA R71". It matches the Rfam family "Plant small nucleolar RNA R71". From Rfam's summary of the family: R71 is a member of the C/D box family of snoRNAs containing the C (UGAUGA) and D (CUGA) box motifs. Lineage: Eukaryota; Viridiplantae; Streptophyta; Magnoliopsida; Lamiales; Oleaceae. The record is from Rfam by way of RNAcentral.
UAUCCAUGGUGGGGGCAAAGGGUUUGUAACUCUUUGUAUCUCUCUCAGGCUUGGUAUAAGGUUUCACUAUCCUUUUGGACAAAUGAGGAGAUUUGCUUCUUAAGGGU